This 422-nucleotide unclassified non-coding RNA is filed under the name Hevea brasiliensis (rubber tree). Lineage: Eukaryota; Viridiplantae; Streptophyta; Magnoliopsida; Malpighiales; Euphorbiaceae. The record is from RNAcentral.
UGUGCUUGGAUGAUCCGGUAGUCGUUUUAGGUCCAUUUCAACUUGAUUGAUCGUCCAUUGCAUAUUUUCCAAUUUCUUUACAAUAUCAUGGUAUUGUCUUGCAAUUGUGUCGAAAUGAGGAUCCACACCUUGAUAUUCACGAAGGCGGGUAACCGCUUUAUUAUAUGCCAUAGAAGCUUCCUCUGUAGCCUCUACAAGAUACUUCCUUAUUUUAUGGAGGGCUGGAAUGGACUCCUGAGUAUAAGUUUCAAGCAGGAGAACAUGCUCUAGAACUCUUAAUUUUGCACUCAUGGUCUCACACCUUUUACACAGCCAAGUCUUUUGUAGUUCAUCAUAUUUAUGUUGAUGCUGCAACUUCAGAUCUUUUACAAGCUUAAUAAGCACUGCCAGUAUCUGCUCUAAGACAUUGUAGUAUUCUGCAA